AUCUAUGGCCAUACCAUCCUGAACGUGCCUAAUCUCCUCUGAUCUUGGAAGCUAAGCAGGGUCAGGCCUGGUUAGCACUUGGAUGGGAAAGUAUGAUAUGAGAAAUUAAGAGAGGCCUUUGAAG
Molecule: ribosomal RNA, 124 nt
Organism: Fukomys damarensis (Damara mole-rat)
Lineage: Eukaryota; Metazoa; Chordata; Mammalia; Rodentia; Bathyergidae
Source: Ensembl